CAUAUAUAAGAUGGUGACAGAAGACGGCUGAAGUAUCAUUCGCACAGCGUGACAUGGCGAAACUACUGGCCGUCUUCCUGGUGAUGCUCAUUGCUGCCCUGGUCUGCGAACAGGCUCUAGGUGGCGGUAUUACAUUCGUGUGACCUGUAUCCCGUGGCCAGGUCACCUGCUGCUGAAGACUUGACCCGGAGAAGUUUUCUGCUGCCCCAUAAAUGUUGAAAUUUCAAUGUAUAUGCAACAAGUUUACUCAAAAUGGCUACGAAUAAAGCUUGGAAUACUCAA
Schistocerca serialis cubense is the source of this 282-nucleotide long non-coding RNA. RefSeq lists it as uncharacterized. NCBI's taxonomy places the organism in Eukaryota, Metazoa, Arthropoda, Insecta, Orthoptera, Acrididae. The record is from RefSeq and is a predicted model, not a curated record. The transcript has 2 exons.